UACGUAGGGGGCAAGCGUUGUCCGGAUUUAUUGGGCGUAAAGAGCGUGUAGGCGGCCAGGUAGGUCAGCUGUGAAAACUCGAGGCUCAACCUCGAGACGUCGGCGGAAACCAUCUGGCUAGAGUCCGGAAGAGGAGAGUGGAAUUCCUGGUGUAGCGGUGAAAUGCGCAGAUAUCAGGAAGAACACCCGUGGCGAAGGCGGCUCUCUGGGACGGUACUGACGCUGAGACGCGAAAGCGUGGGGGAGCGAACAGG
RNAcentral lists this ribosomal RNA (254 nucleotides) under uncultured bacterium. RNAcentral describes it as "partial 16S ribosomal RNA". It matches the Rfam family "Bacterial small subunit ribosomal RNA", at positions 524 to 776 of the family's 1533-position model. The record is from RNAcentral.